Molecule: ribosomal RNA, 253 nt
Filed under: uncultured bacterium
Lineage: Bacteria
Description: partial 16S ribosomal RNA
Rfam family: Bacterial small subunit ribosomal RNA
Source: RNAcentral
AACGUAGGGGACAAGCGUUAUCCGGAUUUACUGGGCGUAAAGCGCAUGUAGGUGGCGCUGAAAGUUGGACGUGAAAGCCCCUGGCUUAACUGGGAGAGGUCGUUCAAAACUGCAGUGCUUGAGUUUGGAAGAGGAGAGCGGAAUUCCCGGUGUAGUGGUGGAAUGCGUAGAUAUCGGGAGGAACACAAGUGGCGAAAGCGGCUCUCUGGUUCACACCUGACACUGAGAUGCGAAAGCGUGGGGAGCGAACGGG